GGUCCUUGGCCCUCAGACCCGCCCCUUUCCCCCUUAUCAAACCCUGUGUCCUCAGCCCCAUUUUGUCUCUGUCCCUGCACCUUCUACAUUGCAAUAAACUGCGUUUGGAGCUGUGCGCACAGACCCGUCUCUGGCCUUGUCCAUCAGCAGGUUAAGCAAGCGUGCUCCGGGCUCUGGGAGUGCAGGAUUUCUCAUUCCCAAACCUUGGCCGGAUGGAGGAGGAGGCUGUGAGGAAGAGGAAGAAGCCCUGGGACAUGCAGGCAGACAAGGAGCUGAGGAUGGAGAGCAGGGAGGACAAAUGCCCACAGAAGAACCCCGUGGAAAAGGCUGUUCUGAGCAGCUCGAUGGCCCAGGAAUCCAACAGAGAGGGAAAGCUCCAGAGAUCCCACAGGAGGAGGGGCUCCAAACCCAGCCCAGGGUGCUCUGAGGAGGAAAGACCCACCCUGAACCAGGAAGGUGGACAGAGCUUCAGCCAGAGCUCAGAGCUGGUGAUCCAUGAGCAGCCUCAUGAUGGAGAGAAGCCCUACAAGUGCUUGGAGUGUGGGAAGAGCUUCAGGCAGAGCAGCACUCUGAUCCACCACCAGAUGAUCCACACCGGGGAAUGGGCCUACGAGUGUGGGGAGUGUGGGAAGGGCUUGAGGUGCAGCUCAGAACUCGUCACCCACCAAUGAAUCCACACUGGGGAGAGGCCCUACGAGUGUGCCCAGUGUUGGAAGAGGUUUCACACCAGCUCCAGUCUCCUCAUACAUGAGUGGAUUCACACAGAGGAGAGGCCCUUCUGCUGCCCCGACUGCGGGAAGGGCUUCAAGUACAUCUCCCAUCUCGUCAGGCACCAGCGCAUCCACAGUGGGGAGAGGCCCUACGAGUGCCCCCAGUGUGGGAAGAGCUUCACCCAGAGCUCUGACUUGAACAGACACCUACGGAAGCACCGGUAAGGCAAGCCCUGCAAAUGUCCCUGAGGGGAGAGCUUCGUGCCUGGCUCCAGCUUCAUACCCAAUUGGAGGACCCACGUUGGGAAGAGACCUGUGAUCUAUGUUCACUGUAAUCCAUGCUGGGAAGACACCUGUCCCUUCUCCUGCCCCUGCCAAUUACCUGAUGCAGGAUUGAAGAACAUGAGGAUCUGGCUAGAGCCAUGUCAUUAUAUCCACUCCCUCCUCAGGUCAUUGCCAGAGGCAGGAAAGGGUCUCUCUCUCCGCGAGGAGAAGGGUGUCCUUCCCAGGCCGGAGGAAAUAUGUGGCCAGGAUGAUCCAGUGAGUUGUGUUUUGGUUUUCCCUGUAAAUAGUUUUUCUUUUCCCUUCUGUUACCAGUAUUGUUUCUGUUCUUGUUUGUUCUUUAUUUUGUUGCUGUUCCCAGUAAAUUGUUCUUAUCCCUGCCUAGGAUCCUCUAUUUUUGUGCUUUCCAUGGGAGGUGGGAGGG
Molecule: RNA transcript, 1416 nt
Organism: Passer domesticus (house sparrow)
Lineage: Eukaryota; Metazoa; Chordata; Aves; Passeriformes; Passeridae
Gene name: zinc finger protein 397-like
Exons: 3
Source: RefSeq, a predicted model, not a curated record